AUUAUAAAAGCACAUGGUGGAUGCCUAGACACUAAGUAUCGAUGAAGGACGUGGCAACCUGCGAUAAGCUUCGGCGAGGUGGUAAGCAACCUGUGACCCGGAGAUGUCCGAAUGGGGAAACCCGGCACGAGUAAUGUCGUGUCACCACAUACUGAAUACAUAGGUAUGUUGGAGAAGACCUGGCGAAGUGAAACAUCUCAGUAGCCAGAGGAAAAGAAAAUAACAAAAGACUUCUUUUUUCUUACCUUAGUUCUGUAUUAUCUUCGGAUAAGAUAGAAAUAAGGUAGUUGAGAGAAGUUAUGAUUCCGUUAGUAGUGGCGAACGAAUGCGGAAGAGCCUAAACCAUAACUGUGUUGGUGUGUUAAUGGAUGAUCUUCGGAUUAUUUUGAAACAUGCCUUAAAGGACAGGCCGUUGCAGAUAUGGUGUUGUAGGAUGUAUUGUCCGGUAACCUGAAUGGCCGGGUGAUAUGUAUAUCUUGUAUAGUAGAAGACUCCUGGAACGGAGCGCCAAAGACGGUGAUAGCCCUGUAUACAAAAUAUGUUAUAUAUAUCAUGAAUACAUUCCUGAGUACGGCAGAACACGUGAAAUUUUGUCGGAAUCCGUCGCGACUAUGCGAUAAGGCUAAAUAUACUUAGUGAUCGAUAGUGAACCAGUACCAUGAGGGAAAGGUGAAAAGCAGCCCGGUGAGGGCGAUGAAAUAGUUUCUGAAACCAUGUGCUUACAAGAAGUUGGAGCCCUAGAUUCGUUCAGGGUGACAGCGUUCCUAUUGAAGAAUGAGC
RNAcentral lists this ribosomal RNA (780 nucleotides) under Candidatus Magasanikbacteria bacterium CG10_big_fil_rev_8_21_14_0_10_38_6. RNAcentral describes it as "bacterial LSU rRNA". It matches the Rfam family "Bacterial large subunit ribosomal RNA", at positions 1 to 620 of the family's 2925-position model. Lineage: Bacteria; Candidatus Magasanikiibacteriota. The record is from RNAcentral.